Molecule: long non-coding RNA, 350 nt
Filed under: Populus trichocarpa (black cottonwood)
Lineage: Eukaryota; Viridiplantae; Streptophyta; Magnoliopsida; Malpighiales; Salicaceae
Description: long non-coding RNA (PTRI_LNC004058)
Source: RNAcentral
UCCUCCAACGCCACCUAUGAAGGAGAUUCGCACCUCUAGAGACGGACCUUCUCCACCUCCUCCGAAGCCACCCGUGAAGGAGAAUAACACCAUAGGAGCUGGACCUCCUCCACCACCACCUUUAAAGGAGAAUAACACCAUUGCAGCUGGACCUCCUCCACCACCACCACCACCUCCUCCAACGCCACCUUUAAAGGAGAAUAACACCAUUGCAGCUGGACCUCCUCCAGCACCACCACCUCCUCCAAUGCCACCUUUGAAGGAGAAUAACAAAAUUGGAGUUGGACCUCCUCCUCCACCACCACCACCACCUCCGCCUUUGAAGGAGAAUCUUGUUAUUGGAUCUGGAC